GAUGAACGCUGGCGGCGUGCCUAAUACAUGCCAGUCGAGCGAACGGACGAGAAGCUUGCUUCUCUGAUGUUAGCGGCGGACGGGUGAGUAACACGUGGAUAACCUACCUAUAAGACUGGGAUAACUUCGGGAAACCGGCGCUAAUACCGGAUGAUAUUUUGAACCGCGUGGUUCAAAAGUGAAAGACGGUCUUGCUGUAACUUAUAGAUGGAUCCGCGCUGCAUUAGCUAGUUGGGAAGGUAACGGCUUACCAAGGCAACGAUGCAUAGCCGACCUGAGAGGGGGAUAGGCGACACUGGAACUGAGACGCGGUCCAGACUCCUACGGGAGGCAGCAGUAGCGAAUCUUCCGCAAUGGGCGAAAGCCUGACGGAGCAACGCCGCGUGAGUGAUGAAGGUCUUCGGAUCGUAAAACUCUGUUAUUAGGGAAGAACAUAUGUGUAAGUAACUGUGCACAUCUUGACGGUACCUAAUCAGAAAGCCACGGCUAACUACGUG
This 497-nucleotide ribosomal RNA is filed under the name uncultured bacterium. RNAcentral's name for it is "partial 16S ribosomal RNA". It matches the Rfam family "Bacterial small subunit ribosomal RNA", at positions 28 to 507 of the family's 1533-position model. The record is from RNAcentral.